Molecule: long non-coding RNA, 961 nt
Organism: Equus caballus (horse)
Lineage: Eukaryota; Metazoa; Chordata; Mammalia; Perissodactyla; Equidae
Source: RefSeq, a predicted model, not a curated record
UUGUAAUCCGUAUUUAUUCAAAGUAUUUACUGCUGCUUUUCUCCAUUUCACAGAAACAAACCAACAGGACUUCAUAUGAAAUCAUUGACCACCACGUGCUCCUUCCACCUCCAUUAACUCCUAAUUCUAGGCACAUGAGAGCCAAAGGAAACCACAGAGCCACAGGCACUCACUCACAGCCCUGAAGCAGCUGCUCACAAAGGCAGUGUCGCAGGGCGAGUGUCAGUCUGCCUGGCAAUCUCCUACAACUGAGGGGAAAUAAGAUACCAGAAUGGAUAAGCAGAAGUAACUGAGACUCUCCUGUCUGCCUGGACCUUCAGAGGCUGACUUCAGCUGAAGCACCAAGAGACAUCUUAUGGCUGAAUUCACACAUGAAAAACAUGACUCGAAUUGUUGUUAGCUAGCCUCACCGUACAAAGCACAGCACUGGAGAGAGCUGGAGAGUUGCAUCUUUAAUUGAUUUGCUCUGAGUCAUGUCUACAUCAGAGGGAUAGCUCGACUUGCACUGGAGGUACUAAUGGGGGAAAAUCAUUACCAUGCUCAGCAUAAUCAGAUAAAGAGGAAAUGGACUAGAGAGACAAGAAUCUGCGCAAGGGAAAAUGUGCUUCUGAGAAGAAAAGAGAAUUUUGAGGAGACUCUAUCCUGCUUAUGAGAGUAAGAAAAGAAAAGAAAUUUUAUGACCUUCUGCUUUAAUUAAAAAUAUAAAUUACUCUAUUGGUGUCUUCUCCAGAAAUUAUGUUAAGGAUUUAUUUUGCUUUCAAUCAUAUUUUGGUUACCAAAUUUUGUGGUGCGGCAAGCCGUUUUUGUGGUAUAAUAAUAAUAGUAAUUAUUAUUAUUUUGAGAAAAUUAUAUGCCAGGAAUUAUCCACAAACUGAUAGAAGUCAACUACAAACUGAAAAUUGGGAGCGUUAAAAAUCUCAUCCAGUAAACUUUUCCAAUACUAUGUGAUACCUGUGAUUGC